Molecule: long non-coding RNA, 409 nt
Organism: Suricata suricatta (meerkat)
Lineage: Eukaryota; Metazoa; Chordata; Mammalia; Carnivora; Herpestidae
Exons: 3
Source: RefSeq, a predicted model, not a curated record
UAUUCCUCGUACCCUUGCUUUCUUUCUGUGUAGCAUUGCUAAUACUUAGUUUAAUUAUUGUGUUUUCUAUCUCUCUCUUUAGAAUAUAAACUCCAUGACCAGUUUUGUUCACUGCUUAUCCCCAGCAUCCAAAACAGUGUCUGGGAAGUAAUGUGCCAAUAAUUAUUUUCGAAUGUAGUCCUCAAUAAUGACUUUUUGAAUGUAGUUGGAUAGUGCUUCCUGUAAGACCACAGUGAGAGCUGACCCUAGUUAUUGAUCUAGAAACACUGGAGAUAGUUGUGGCAAAUCUCAAGAAGGGAAUCUCCCAUCUUGGAAGACAUCUUCAUAAGUCCUCACCAUUCUCCUCCAGAAGUUGGCUGAAAAGAACAAAGAAGUACCCAAAUAUUCAAUAAAAUUCUUAAUCAUUUUU